UUUCCGUAGGUGAACCUGCGGAAGGAUCAUUAGUGAAUUCAAAUUUCCUCCUUCGGGGGGUGCAGUCAUGGGCCCUCGUGCCUGUGACUGUGGAAUCACAUCCUUAACACCUGUGAACUGUCUGUCAAGAACAAGGCUUCGGCUUUGAUCUUGUACAUUUUACCAAACUUUACUCUGUAAAAAAUGUCAAUCUAUUAUAAACAUAAUAAAACUUUUAACAACGGAUCUCUUGGCUCUCGCAUCGAUGAAGAACGCAGC
This 258-nucleotide unclassified non-coding RNA is filed under the name uncultured fungus. Its description in RNAcentral is "sequence contains ITS1, 5.8S rRNA gene". The stretch from base 210 to 258 matches the Rfam family "5.8S ribosomal RNA", at positions 1 to 49 of the family's 154-position model. The record is from RNAcentral. Lineage: Eukaryota; Fungi.